Molecule: ribosomal RNA, 1339 nt
Filed under: Hydroscapha granulum
Lineage: Eukaryota; Metazoa; Arthropoda; Insecta; Coleoptera; Hydroscaphidae
Description: 16S ribosomal RNA
Rfam family: Archaeal large subunit ribosomal RNA (bases 1093-1252)
Source: RNAcentral
AAUAAAAAAAUUAUUUAUUUUAUAAUUUUUAAUUUAUUAAUAAAAAUAAUUUUAAUUUAUUUAGUUUUAGUAUAAUUAAUAGAAAAAAUUUUUUUAAUAAUAGUGAAUUAGUAUUGUAAGAGAAUUUUGAAAUAUUAUUUAAUUAAUAAAAAGUAAAAUUAAUUUUUUGUACCUUGUGUAUCAGGGUUUAUUUAUUAAAAAUUAAUUAUUUAAUUUUCUCGAUUUUAAGAGAGAAAAAAUUUUAUUAUAGUUAUUAUUUUAUUAAUAUUAUAAAUAAAAUUUUAGUAAUGAAAAGUUAUUCGUUCUUAAAUAUAUCUAGUUUUUUUAGAAAUAAAUUUAAUUUAGUUAUUUUUUAAAAAUAAUUUUAUUUUUUAAAUUAUUUAAUAAAAAUAAUAAUAUUUAAAGGGAUGAGCUUUUAAAUAAAUUUUUAUAAAAAUUAAAAUAAUAUUUAAAUUGUAAGUUUAGAAAUAUUUAUCAAUAAAAUUUUGUUAUAAUUAAUUAAAUUUAUUUUAUUAUUUUUUAUUUUUUUAAAUUUUCUAUAAAAAUUAUUUAUAAAAUUAUUUUAUAAAUGUAAUAAUGAUAAAAUUAGUAAAUUUAAAUUUUAUUUAAUAUUUAUUUUGAUAAUUAUUAUUAAGGAAUUCGGCAAAAUAAUUAUUCGCCUGUUUAACAAAAACAUGUCUUUUUGAUUAUAAUUUUAAGUCUGGUCUGCCCACUGAAUAUAUAUAUUUUUAUUUUUAUUGAAGGGCCGCGGUAUUUUGACCGUGCGAAGGUAGCGUAAUCAUUAGUUUUUUUAUUAAAAGCUUGUAUGAAUGGUUGGACGAGAUAAUUACUGUCUCAGUAAUAAUUUAAUUGAAUUUAAUUUUUGAGUUAAAAAGCUUAAAUAUUUUUUAAAGACGAGAAGACCCUAUAAAUCUUGAUAAUUAAAUUUAAAAAAGAAUUUAUAGAAAUGAAAAUUAAUUUUUUAUUUUUUUUUAUUUUUAUAUUAUUGUAUUGGGGUGAUAUUAAAAUUUAAUUAACUUUUAUUUAUUAAAACUAUUUAUUUAUAAAAAAUUUGAUCCAAUAUUAUUGAUUAAAAGAUUAAGUUACUUUAGGGAUAACAGCGUAAUUUUUUUAAAGAGUUCUUAUCGAUAAAAAAGAUUGCGACCUCGAUGUUGGAUUAAAGAUUAAUUUUGGCGCAAAAGUUAAAAAUAUUAAGUCUGUUCGACUUUUAAAUCUUUACAUGAUCUGAGUUCAGACCGGCGUAAGCCAGGUCGGUUUCUAUCUUAAAAUAUAUAAAUAAAUUUUAGUACGAAAGGACCAAAUUUUAAAUAAAUUAUUUAUUUUUUGAAUAUUAUUAUUA